This 253-nucleotide ribosomal RNA is filed under the name uncultured bacterium. Its description in RNAcentral is "partial 16S ribosomal RNA". It matches the Rfam family "Archaeal small subunit ribosomal RNA", at positions 474 to 727 of the family's 1478-position model. The record is from RNAcentral.
UACCAGCACCCCGAGUGGUCGGGACGUUUAUUGGGCCUAAAGCAUCCGUAGCCGGUUCUACGAGUCUUCCGUUAAAUCCAACUGCUUAACAGGUGGGCUGCGGAAGAUACUAUAGAGCUAGGAGGCGGGAGAGGCAAGCGGUACUCGAUGGGUAGGGGUAAAAUCCGUUGAUCCAUUGAAGACCACCAGUGGCGAAGGCGGCUUGCCAGAACGCGCUCGACGGUGGGGGAUGAAAGCUGGGGGAGCAAACAGG